ACCGCAGCCGUCCGAUCCCAGGUCCGGGGCAGCCUCGGAAGCCAUGGUUCUCGGCGAGGGGAGGCCAGCCCAGGCUUGGGCCAGGGCCGGUGGCCAUGGUUAGCGGGAAUAUCGGCUCAAUGUUGUGGCGGCCAAUGGGCGGGAUGCACGCGUGGCCGGGAAGGGAAGAGGGCGUGGUGACAGGUGUUAUGCCAUGCACUCCUAGGCCUCCAUGGCUGCUCUGGUCGGACACGGUUUUGGGGGCAUUCCCGUGCGUGGUAAGUAACAGGGGCGAGAGUAAUGGUAGGAUCAACGAGGCCUAGGCGAAGCAGGAGAUGCUGGCUUACAUCGAGCUGUUCUUGAAUGGCGGCCAUUCUGGUCUGAGGAAAUCCUCCCAUUUGCAGCAGCGUUCGGUAUGAUCCCUGUUGGAGAUCUGCGUCUUUACCAGUGGAUUCAUAGAACGCUACUCUUUGAAGGUAUGGCAUGGAGUCCCUCUUUUGCAUUAGAGCGAAUGUUGUGAAGGGGAGCUGACACCUCUCUGUGGGAUUUGCAGGUGAGAGAAGAUGUACCUCGGUGAUUUUCACUUGAAAGUCGUCCAUUUUCAUCUUCACCCCGUCGAAGAUCCAAGCCCGAACUCGCAGUGACAAGCAAAGCAGCACAGGGACUCCUAGAGGCUCGGGGAUAUUAUAUUCUAAAAAGCACGCACGGAUUGAUUGGAGUCAAGUCAUGUCACACAAGCAGACGAGACGAUGGACUCUGGAUAUUAACACGUAAGGUGGUACACAGGAUUAAUUCGUUUUGACUUUCUCACUGAACUUUGCCAUUGUUUCAGGAGGAAGGAACACUGUGACUUCAAUGGCUUUCCCACCUCUCGGUGACGGGUCGUAGAAGCAGAAGCCGUUCCACAACUUCGUAGCGUGUCGAACAGCGUGUCGAACAGGCUGGUUUCCCCCAUCCAAAGUCCAGACUAUACAUUGGAAAUCUUGGAGAGCUACCAAAGAUUGGUAAACACAACAUUGGAGUUAUUUUGUUGUUCUUGAGUGUGCUUUGCAAAAGUCUAAUAUUUUCCUUUCAGAUCAUUACAUAGUUGUGAAAUUUAUAUAUAUCCAACUGUAGUCUGCAUUUCUAUUCUGCAUAAAUUUCUAUACAAACUCAAUUAAAAUAUAUAUAUUAUCAAACCUAUAAUUGAAGUGACUGAAAAUGCCUCGCCUCCGCCAUCUUUUGAGAACCAUACGACAUAGUAAACAACCUAAUGGAGAUUUAGAUGCCUUUGAAACUAUGAUUGAUCAUGAUACACAUACUAUAGCUGUUCAAAAUAAUCAUGAUAAUGAUUCUAUACACCUAAAUAUUAAUCAUGAUAAUGACUAUAUACAGCAAUCAGUUGGACACUCAGAAGCAUCUGGAACCUUACAUGCAUGUCAUUAUGACAAUUACAUAUAUCAAGCAAUAUUAAAUCCACCACCC
RNAcentral lists this long non-coding RNA (1443 nucleotides) under Selaginella moellendorffii. Its description in RNAcentral is "long non-coding RNA (SMOE_LNC001804)". The record is from RNAcentral. Lineage: Eukaryota; Viridiplantae; Streptophyta; Lycopodiopsida; Selaginellales; Selaginellaceae.